AUGAAUCUCUUGGCCUGGAACUGUCGAGGAUUGGGGUUGGACUCGACAAUUGGCGAAUUAAGAGACCUGAUACGGUCCUACAACCCGGCGGUGGUUUUUCUCUGUGAAACGAAGAAAACAGUGAGAGCAAUGGAGCGACUACAGUGGAGCAUGGGUUUUAAUCAUGGUGUAGUGGUAGAUUGUCAAGGGAGGAGUGGAGGUCUUGCUCUAUGGUGGAGAGAUCAUCUUCAGGUUACCGUGCGGCCGUGGAGCCAGUACUUUAUCGAUGCUGAGGUGAUGUGUGAGGGGAAAACUUGUAGGAUCACUGGAUUCUACGGGGAACCCCAAACGGAACUACGCAAGAAAUCAUGGGAUGCUAUAGAUACUUGCGAGCUCAAGGCGAUCUGCCGUGGAUUUGCUUGGGUGAUUACAAUGAAGCCUUGUUUCUCUCUAACCAGAUUGGUGGUAACCCAAGACCCUUCUUGCAAAUGGAAGAUUUUCGCGACUGUCUUGCUGAUUGUGGCCUAG
This 507-nucleotide ribosomal RNA is filed under the name Triticum aestivum (bread wheat). RNAcentral's name for it is "partial small subunit ribosomal RNA". Lineage: Eukaryota; Viridiplantae; Streptophyta; Magnoliopsida; Poales; Poaceae. The record is from RNAcentral.